AAAGGGGAGGAAGCGGUGAGGGGCAAAGAGAACUCCAACAGGGAAGGAAGCUGUGAGGGAGCAUGGGGCAAAAAGAGCCUCUAAAAAGGGAGGGAAAGUGUGAGCAGCAAAGAAGGCACAGAAAGGGCAUGAAAGUGUGAGGGAGCAGGGUGCAAAAAAAGGCUCUAAAAAAGCAGGAAGCCGUGAGGGGCAAAGAAAGUUCCAAAAAGGCGGGAAAGAAGGCUCUAAAAGGGCAAGAAGAGGUGCGGGGGAAAAGAAGGCUUCAAAAGGGCAGAAAACUGUGGCAAGGCAGUGGGCAACAUUUCUGCCCUCAGACCUGUCUCAGGAACAACACCCAGGUGAUUGUUGAAACAGAACGGAGAACUAUUGCGGCAGCAUUGAGAACAACUUAGAGGAGCACAGAAACGUGAGGGAAGAGGAGGCCCUUUGCUGAUAUACGGCUGUUGACUGAACAGGGCAAAGUAGCCUUGGACUCCACUGGAAAGGCCUUGAAGGAAAUACUUACCUUUCCAGCCAGCAGCACCACUCUUACCUGCUGUGUUGGACCCAGACCAGUGCCUCACAUCACAGAGUGCUUCUGGAGACAGACAGGAUGUGGGCUUGUACAGAUUCAGAAUAUUUUGAGCAAUUGCAUCCACUUUGGCUUUAGAUAAAGAGAAUUACAUCUGACACAACAAGAUACAGAUUUCAACACUGUUUGGCUCUGCACUGGGAUCUCCAGGAAACCUGAUGUGUAAGUGAAUUCUAGAAUUUGGCUGUUUGGCAAAUGUCAGUUUUAAGCAAACCCUUCCAUGAGUCAGUAGUAACCCUCCAUAAUAAUGUCCCAGCCAUUAUCUAGCCAGGGAGCUCUGAUCUGUUGUCUUAAUUACUGGCCUAAAUUAAUCCACAUAUUUCGUACAAAGAAGUGCUGAGGAUGGAGACCAUCAUGUGAUAUUUGUGCAGUUAUAUCCUCCAGUGUUGUGUUUUCUACAGCUCAUGUUUUUACUUUAUCUCUGCUCCCUUAAAUGGACCGUUAAA
Lepidothrix coronata (blue-crowned manakin) is the source of this 1017-nucleotide long non-coding RNA. RefSeq lists it as uncharacterized. The transcript has 7 exons. Lineage: Eukaryota; Metazoa; Chordata; Aves; Passeriformes; Pipridae. The record is from RefSeq and is a predicted model, not a curated record.